CUGCCCCGCUGAUCACGGACAACACCACGUACUUCCGCAGCAAGGUGUUCACGGGUUCCUGUGACGUCCUGGGAAUUCGUCACAAGAGCACGUCUGUGUAUUACCCACAGCCCAACAUCACGGCAAAGGGGAAAGGUGCCCUGGCUGCCAGAAAGGAUGUAUGCUGUCACCCGAGCUGGACUAUUGCUGCUGCCCGAGAAUCAUGGUCGCUGCGUAGCUGUCUCGUGUUCCUGGGCCGACCCGGGCGUAUCCCUCGUUUGGCUAAAUAAAUAAAUUGUUGUUCUUUGUUUCGA
Molecule: long non-coding RNA, 293 nt
Organism: Rhipicephalus microplus (southern cattle tick)
Lineage: Eukaryota; Metazoa; Arthropoda; Arachnida; Ixodida; Ixodidae
Source: RefSeq, a predicted model, not a curated record